GCCCCUGUUGUCUAAUGGUUAUGACGUCAGACUUCUAAGGCACUGGCCAGUCCCUGACAUCUGGAGGUUGCGGGUUCGAAUCCCGCCAGGGGUU
Macrolepiota fuliginosa MF-IS2 is the source of this 94-nucleotide non-coding RNA. NCBI's taxonomy places the organism in Eukaryota, Fungi, Basidiomycota, Agaricomycetes, Agaricales, Agaricaceae. The record is from the annotation of a GenBank genome assembly.